AUGGAAAAUACCUUCAUUUACCAUAAAUACAGUAAUCUUCCGACACGCAUGUUCAACGCUAAUGCAAUUUCAUUGUACGGGACAAAAUAUGGUACAACGCACACACACAUACAUAACAACAAUAACGAAGAGAAGAGAGAGAGAGAAACGACAUCUAUUAACUUCCGUCUGGGCAAUAGACUAUUGCUAAAAAUGUAAUCGUUUUCGAAAUUGAUGAAUUAUAUAAAACCGGUUUCCACUGAGUAAAUGCUACAAUUUUUUUUUGUUUCUGUUCAAUUUAGCCGUUCGUUCGUUCGUUUGUUCAGUUAGAUAUUUGACCGAGCCCAAUUGAAGAGACGGAGACAAUUGAGGAGACGGAAACGGCAACGCUUUUUCAAGUUAAUGCAAAUAUAAUUCGAAUUUAAGUAUUUCGCUUUUAAAUUGUUGGUAAAUGAGUUAUGGAAAUAAUGUGCAAUGAAACACGCAUUUAGAUGGUCCCUUUGCACAGGGCCACAAACGCACAACUACACACAGACAAUGGCAUACAUAUGACGCCGACUAUCUAUACAUAUCUGAUAACACGGUGGAGAGAAUGCAUAAAAGUACGGUUCAAGAAGCAGGCGAAAACACAAUUGGUCGUCAUGAGUAUCUACUUUUAUGGAUUGUUCGUCGCGUAUCUGGUUGCGACGCUAACCAACGGGGAUGAGAUUCAAGUCGAAGUGGAAGCCAAUGACAACGCUAAACAAAGUUUAGAUGAGUUAAGCAAAGAGGUGAACCAGAUGAAAGCUGAACUUACGAAAAAUAAUAAUGACGAAAUACCGAACGAUACCGUAAGUGAUGGCGAUAGCAAUGGCAAUGGCAAUGGCAAUAGUCCACACGCUGCUUUGGGUGAAAUUGACAAAAUCAAAAAAAUUGUAGAAAUCCUGGAAACUAUCGUUGUGCCCACUAUCGUUAAUCGUCAAAAUGCUCAGGAACAAUUUCAAAAAAAGAACGAUGCUGACCCAUCGGCUGUUUCUUCAUCAGGCCCAAUAACAAUUCUACCAAAGGGCUUUAAAUUACUACAACAUCAUACGAUCACAUCCGAUGAAGGUAGCCCAGCAGCAGCAGCAGCCACAGCGACAUACCAAAAACCUAAUCCACAAUCCGAUGGCAAUUGAUAUCACUUCAAAUGUGCACCAUUUAAAAUGAUUUACCCUCACACGCCUCAAUGAGCUUCAAUAAAUCAAAACAAAUUUCAUGUAAUAAUGCAUAGAAAACAGUGUCUCGUUCUCUCUCUCUGCUUUAACACUUCCCCUAUUUUUAUCGCUCUGUUCAAAAUGCCAGCGGAGUGCUGAUGACAUCUGUUGGUUCAGUUUGCAAUCUCGCUCGGUCGAAGCUAACGGAAUGUCGGUAAACUUUCUGUAUUUGACGACCUCUAUUGCGUAUUUGAUUGAGAUAUUUUACUUCUGCUAAUGUUUUUGCUUUGAUUUUGCCUUAUUGCCCCGAUAUUGCCUCAUAAAAAUCUUCUUUAAUUUUUGAACAAAUGCUCGAUGAUUCAAUGUUCAAUUACUUCAAGUGAAGUAAUCCAAAGAAAAUUUCAACCAAUUUUCAAUUCAACUGUAUCAGCAGUUUUAACAUUGUCGGACUAAUAAGACUUUGACAGGUUGUCGUACAUAACCUCAGAAAGAGCAUAUCAUGCGUGUGACACAAUGCAAGUAUGUGAGUGCGCCUUCAAGACCAAUUGUCAGACGAAUAUUCAAAGUGCUAUCAAUAUCGCCUGUGUCGUUUGUUUAUUCGUUUGUUAUCAUCAAAAUCAUUACAAUAAUUCCAACACAUUUUGCAUGAAAACGCCCAAUCAGUCUACGGAAGAAGCGGUUUUCGCAACGGAUUUUCGGGCAGAUUCCCGAAAAUAAUGGUACACGCAGAAGUGAUACGGAAAUUUUGCACAUUGUAACGUCUAGAUCAAAUCCACAAGUGGUCGUGCCCAAAUCUAAACCCAAAAAUCAAACGAUAUUAAUUACAGUCGAUUGUUUUUGCGCGUCAAUUUUGAG
Molecule: RNA transcript, 2009 nt
Organism: Sitodiplosis mosellana (orange wheat blossom midge)
Lineage: Eukaryota; Metazoa; Arthropoda; Insecta; Diptera; Cecidomyiidae
Gene: Uxt
Gene name: protein UXT
Exons: 3
Source: RefSeq, a predicted model, not a curated record